Molecule: long non-coding RNA, 2884 nt
Organism: Cyprinus carpio carpio
Lineage: Eukaryota; Metazoa; Chordata; Actinopteri; Cypriniformes; Cyprinidae
Source: Ensembl
AUGAAAGGACAGACAGGAGGCAUUACUGAAGCACAUAUCCAGCAUGACAGUAGGGCACAGAGAACUGUAAAAGCAAGUCCUGAGGUAAUGCCUCGAUUGUGCCAGUUCCAAUCAGACCGACCCGCGCUGGUGAAGGUGAGCUGUACAGCUGCAUUUGUGUUUGUCUGUGCUUUUCUAGUGCUUUCUGUCAGGUACAGUGCAAAUGUUUCUGAUAGAAAUUCUGGGCUGUCAAAGCUGUGGCACAGUGGGUAGUACACGUGUUCAUGAUACGUAAGAGCUGCAUGCUCACGAAGUUAGAGGCUUAUAUUUCUCUUGUGUCAAGAAAUGUACUAAACAAAAAUUUUAAUAUCUUACUCACCCUUAUUAAAUCUCAUACUUACAACUUGCAACAUUCCAAAUCCUUAGAAGUCACAUGGUCGCUGAGGAACAGCAAAACGUGGGUCAUUAUUGACUGAUAAUCAUCACUUCUGCUGGAGCUCUCAAAUUUCAUUCGCACUUCUGCAUGUUCAAACUUGCUGCAGUAAAUAAGGCACAUACAUGAAUGUAUUUAAUCACUUUGGGGAUCUAUGCAUUACCAUUUUUCUAAUAAUAAUAAUAAAAAAAAAGAUAAGAAAUGACUCCUCUAAAUCAAACCCAGCCACAGAUUUAUAUAUGAAUGAAUGAAUAAAUAAAUAAUUGUAAUUAGAAAUAUAUCACUCACACUUUGGAUUGUGUUUCUCACAAUUAGAGUUUACAUUGUGCAAUUCAGAUUUUUUUUCCCCCUCAUAAUUCUGAGUUUACAUUUUGCAAUUCAGAUUUGUUUACACUGCACAAUUCAGACAUUUUUCCAUACAAUUAACAGUUAAUAUUUUGCAACAAUUAUUAUCUCAAUUAUUUAAUUAUUUAAUAAUAAUAAUAAUAAUAAUAAUAAUAAUAAUAAUAAUAAUAAUCAGAUAUAUACAAGUCAGAACUGUAAACAUUAUCAUUCAUUCAUUCAUUCAUUCAUUUUGUGUGCCAAAAUAAAUAAAUAAAUAAAUACAAAAAUCCUGUGUAAUUUUAAUUUCUGUCAUAUUGGGAAUAUUUUAUGCUGCUGCAUUUCUCUGUAGGAACCGGUGAUUUAUAAUACAGUGAAACAUUUACUGUUUUGGUUAUAAUCUGACAACAAUCGCAACAUGAACUGGAGAACAUUGGUUCUCGGCAACUAAAAGUCUUUGGGAUGAACUAAAAUUGCCAGGUCCAAACCCACCUGACAAACACUUUAACAAUCUAACAUUUCAUUAUCUAUAAAAAAUGGAUGGAGUACAAAAAUGUUAAUUCAUUUAAAAUAUUCUAAACAUCACAAUACUAAAGAUAAGUGCCAAAGCUAUCAUGUUUGACUUGUAUAUUUUCAUCUCAUUCAAUUCACAAUCCUCUGUCUCCUAGCAAUUCAUUAAACUCAGUAAAAUGUUUGAUACCAGACUGUAGAUCAUUUUCAUGAGCUUAUAGAUGGCACGGACCAGUAUAUUUCAAUUAGUUACAUAUCUUUAGCACAAACACAUUAAAGAUGUUUUUCUGUCUCUCUCCCUCUGCCCAUUCGGCACAAAUUAGCGAAUACUGGAUCAUCUUAUGAAAAGACUCCACAAGUCCUUGAAGUUCCACUGUAUAUCGCAGUAUUUCCGAGCCUGAGAUUAAUUGCCUCUUUUACGCCCCGACAGUAAUCCUUCAGACCACUUCCUCCAAGCUCGGCUACAUCUGAAGCCGCGCGACAAGUUUGGAGAGAAACAUAAGCGCAAGAUGUUAAGCCACUUCACCAAUAUCCUGCCUGACACUCCACAGGACUUUAUUCCCUUGGAUUUACUAAGCGAGGGGGGGGGGGUGGACACGCAAGGUGGCUGCAGAUUGCAUUCAUGGGUGGAUUUGGAAAAAAAUAAAAUAAAAUAAAUAAAUACAGUCACUGUUUGUUUAUUUGCUUGCCUUUUUUUCCCCCAAUGUCUUUUUAAUUUUGUCUACACUGAUUGUGCCAUAUGUUGUCCUGGUGUCUAAAUCCUCAGAAAUACAAGUGCAGUAUUUAACACAGCAUCGUAAUAAUUCUGUUGUUUAUCAAGUUGGCAGAAUUCACACAUGCUUUCGGAUGGCUUUGCAGUCCGGCAUAUGCCGCCCAUGACAUCAGAAAAGGUCACUGUGUUCUCUCAAUGAUUUGAUGCUGGCAACAGAUGGUCUGCAUUGUUGUUUCAUUUGUACGAUUUGUGAAACUAUAAAACAUUUUCUAUUUUUCUGCUCGGAUGAUGUUUUCAGAUGAAACACAAUCACUCAGCCAUAACUUAUGUCUUUAGUAUGUCAAAAAUGUUAUUUUAGUGGUAACAGCAAGGCUUUUAGGUAAUGAUUCUUAUAAAAAAUACCUACUUUGGAUUUGUGCAAAAAUAGCUUUAAAAGACUUAAAAUUAUAGUGUGGCAGAUCUAAUUGGGUUCUCCUUCAACUUCAGGCACUUUAAUGUCCCAGGGGUUGAUUUUUUUUUUUUAAACAAACAAUAUAAACAAACAUAUUUGAUCUACUUUCCUUUACAUAUUUUGUUUAUUUUCCACUAUUUCUGCAUGCAUCAUUUCCAAGCUGUAAUAGUCAAAUUAUGCAAAAAAGUUUGAAAAUGUUAUUUAAUCGUGUGUGUUUAAGAUUUUGAUUUAAUUUUGUUAUGAAUAUGUUUAAAAUGUUGUUUCCACCACAGAAUGAAUUACGAUUGGAUGAUUCCUUAAAAUUAUGGUUCAGAAAUAUUUAUAUACAAUACUUGGAGAGAGAAAAAAAUACAAUAAUGUUACAAUUUUUAACAUUAGUUUACUAAUUUGCAAAUUUGAACUAACAUUGAAAAUAAUUUUAAAGCAUGCAUUAAUUUUAAUUACAAAAUUUAGUAACACGUUAUUAAAAUUGUUAAAA